Molecule: ribosomal RNA, 206 nt
Filed under: uncultured bacterium
Lineage: Bacteria
Description: partial 16S ribosomal RNA
Rfam family: Bacterial small subunit ribosomal RNA
Source: RNAcentral
CGUGUAGGCGGUUUGUCAAGUCGGGUGUGAAAGCCUGGGGCUCAGCCCCAGAAGUGCAUCCGAAACUAGCAAGCUAGAGCGCGAUAGAGGAGGGUGGAAUUCCUGGUGUAGCGGUGAAAUGCGUAGAUAUCAGGAGGAACACCGGCGGCGAAGGCGGCCCUCUGGAUCGUUGCUGACGCUGAGAGCGAAAGCGUGGGGAGACAACG